This 117-nucleotide non-coding RNA is filed under the name Nomascus leucogenys (northern white-cheeked gibbon). Lineage: Eukaryota; Metazoa; Chordata; Mammalia; Primates; Hylobatidae. The record is from Rfam by way of RNAcentral.
GCCAGGUGUGGUGGCUCACGCCUGUAAUCCUAGCACUUUGGGAGGCUGAGGUGGGCGGAUCACUUGAGGUCAGGAGUUCAAGACCAGCCUGGCCAACAUGGUGAAACCCCAUCUCUA